Non-coding RNA from Pelobates cultripes (western spadefoot toad), 334 nucleotides. NCBI's taxonomy places the organism in Eukaryota, Metazoa, Chordata, Amphibia, Anura, Pelobatidae. The record is from the annotation of a GenBank genome assembly.
GACAGAGCCUGCAUGAAAAAAAAACUGGUUUCACUUUCAAACAGAUGUAAUUUACCUUAAAUAAUUGUAUCUCAAUCUCUAAAUUGAACUUUAAUCACAUACAGGAGGCUCUUGCAGGGUCUAGCAAGCUAUUAACAUAGCAGGGGAUAAGAAAAUCUUAAUUAAACAGAACUUGUAAUAAAGAAAGCCUAAAUAGGGCUCUCUUUACAGGAAGUGUUUAUGGAAGGCUGUGCAAGUCACAUGCAGGGAGGUGUGACUAGGGUUCAUAAACAAAGGAAUUUAACUCCUAAAUGGCAUAAGGAUUGAGCAGUGAGGCUGCAGGGGCAUGUUCUAU